Long non-coding RNA from Acanthaster planci (crown-of-thorns starfish), 2890 nucleotides. RefSeq lists it as uncharacterized. The record is from RefSeq and is a predicted model, not a curated record. Lineage: Eukaryota; Metazoa; Echinodermata; Asteroidea; Valvatida; Acanthasteridae.
CGUGCGAGUACAACUUACAAGUGAACAAGUUACAACUUCAUGAACUUUUUGAGCGAGGAAAAUGCUACGUACAGCAGUACUACAAGGCAGCUGCAGGCUUGUCUCAUCACUACUGGAUUGUUGCACAAGGUGUUGACUGUCUUCAGAAUACGGGCUUGUAACUCGGCACCAUCAUGUGCAUGACUUGAAAACAAAUGUUCUUUAAAUGCCAAGAAGAAACUAAUUGCAGGAUGUAAGAUCAGUACAUGUACAUAUAUUUCUCGGCAAACAGGCACUAGCUUAACAUGUAUAUGAGCCCAGAUUUCUGGAUGACACUUCACACUUCAUGGGCUACGUUGAAAGGUAGAGAUGUCAGCCCCUUGCAUCACCACCAUUGCAACUACCGCAGAGAUCAUUCACAAGACAGAGAUCUCCCCGAGGAGUGUUUGCGGCCCAGAAAGUCCCAGUUUCACAUCCACUCACGUGAACAAUGGGAGAAGUCAGAGGACCGGAGGUGUGGUCAAGGCCACACAGGUGACAGAGACUGUGACAGUAAACACCAAGAUGACAUCUGAUAGAAUGACCUUGGAGAACAACUCAAACUGGAGAUCAUCAACUGACUGGAGACAAGAGGCACUGGACCCACUAAAACGAUUCUUCUAGAUGUACAUGAGGAGGUCAGAGCAAGAAAAGAUCUCAAAGUAAAGAGUGCCUGAUGUGUGGGCAGCAUCACCUGACAGAGUAGAACCUGACUCGUACGAGUUUGGCCUCACAGGGAAUGGCAAAGAUGACUCUAAUGGUGAAGAAUAAAAAAGUAAGCCUUUAAAGAAAAUCAAGUUCCAGGAAAGACUUGAGUUGCUCACCGUCAGAAUGAGCAACUCUGACAGUGAUGAGGAUCAAGACUAGUGGGUGGAGAAAACACCAGGGCAUAUAUUCACUGAUAUCUUGAGGCUUCUCUGGACAGUUGAGGACCAAUUUGACUGGUAGCUCUAUUUACUUGCCAAGAGAGUGAUUAGGCAGGUCAAGUCAGAUCAGCUGCUGUCCUCUGCGGCAGCCUGCACAGCACAACUGUGUGUUGUGAUUUUCCUAUCUAAGGGAGUUUGCCAGAGGAAUCAAUGGAUGGGAACACAAGUUUUGGGAAUUGUUUGGCGCCCAUCUUAACCUACUCCUUUAACUACCAAGAUGCUUGUCAAGACGCUGUUCAUACAAACCUUGUUAGACACUGCUGGAUUGUACCCUGUUAGGAGAUCAGAUGAAAAUAUCAGACUGCACCAUUCCCAUGUUAAUUCAAGAGGAAGUGACAAGGCAUGUCGCUCUGCCUAACAUUAUUCCCACAAGAUCACUUUACUUGUGGCCAGUGAGCAGAGUUGGUAAGGAUAAUACAUGUUGCUCAACCUACUGCUGUGCUCCAAUAGGAUCACUUACCUGUACCUCUGAUCUGCAAGUUGAAGUGAGUUGAAAGUACAGAGCUGUAUUUGAAAACUAGAGCACUAACUCUCAUACAAAACGAUGCCUGCUGGGCAUCCAUGUUUGUGCAGAGAACUCAAUAUUUUGUACAGCUUUUGUACAGCUAUUUGCACAUCUGCGUCUGUAUUCUAAAAUGACAAGAAAGCACAUACACAAAGGAACCUAAAUGCUUAAUCAGUAAAUGAGCAUUUGAUUUUGCUCUACAUAAAAAAUUAAAAUGUGUGUGCAUCUGUGCUGCAGAUAAGUUUGCCGUGACUUUUUAAUUGGAUUUUAUUGAUAACCGAUGUGCUCUGCAUUAAGAGUACAUCAUUGGAUAUUCAUUCUAUCUAUUUUCGAAUAUUCUACAAGCAUGCACAGCGUCAAAUUGUCUGUGCCUAGGGCGAAGUCAAACUUUCUCCACAUGGAGAAUGAGAGGUUAACGCUCAAGGACUUUAACACAGCUCAAUGGUUGGAAGUGAGACAGCAUUGUUUGUCUAUACCCAGCACUGUGUUUUUACAGGAUCACUUAUCUGUUGUCUAAGAACCGAGCUGGAUGGACGCAUGGGUGGAUAUCAUGACUGGAAACACAAACUGGCUUUAUGUUAUAUAGCAUUUUAAUUUCUAUGCACUGUCUUUAGGUCUCAAGUACAAAAGUGUGGGACAUUUGUGUGUGAUGACUAUUAGUGUUCAAGAAAGUUAAACUCUGUAGCUUUUAAAGUAGUUGUAAAUUUUGUAAAAAAAUUGUGAUGUGUGUUGACUGGAAAGCUACCUUUUGUACGUGUAUAUUGCUUUACAUUCAAUUUUGUGGGCUGCCGUAAGGUAAAGAAAGAAAUCACUAUUUGGGCAACUUGUGUGUAAGGCCAUUGAACUACAAGAAGAUUGUGAACUGAGUAACGUUUAAAGUCAUUGAAAAACUCGUAAAAAUUGUGAUAAAUGUUGACUACACGUUUAUCUGGUUAUGCAUGAGACUAUUAGCCUACAGUCAAAUUUUGAACUUGAGUAACUGUUGAAGUAGUUGUCAAGUUUGUAAAAACAAUGUUGCCUGAAAAUUGACCUGUUAAUUUCAUUCACAUUCGCUGGAACUGUAUUUCAUUAUUGUGUAAUUUAAUUGGAUCUUGCACUCCUGCAUUUAACUUUGUUUGCAGUGUGUUUUGGAAAGUUUGUAUUGCCAUCCUCUUCAGUUUCUCUGCCUGUACUUCAUGCACCUUGGGCGGUAUGACGAAUUCUCUUUAUCAACAAAGGAUGAUUCUACUCAAGUUUUUAAUAGUCAGCUACAUGAGAGGAAAAUGUUUUUAACACACCAGUUACGGUAUUGCUGGAAGCAAUAUGAAAUGUAGCAGUGCACCUGUGCAAUUAAAUUCCACCAGAAGUUUAAACGUGAAGUUCAAUGGGACCCUCUGUGAGGUUGGGAGCAUGUUCUGCGAUCUUUGUAAGAGUGGUCAAUAAAUUUUUCAUGAACUGUAAA